GCGCCUGUAGCUCAGCUGGAUAGAGCAACGGACUUCUAAUCCGUAGGCCGGGGGUUCGAAUCCCUCCAGGCGCGCCA
This 77-nucleotide transfer RNA is filed under the name Pseudomonadota bacterium. RNAcentral describes it as "tRNA-Arg". It matches the Rfam family "tRNA". From Rfam's summary of the family: Transfer RNA (tRNA) molecules are approximately 80 nucleotides in length. Their secondary structure includes four short double-helical elements and three loops (D, anti-codon, and T loops). The record is from RNAcentral. RNAcentral also lists the same sequence under 4 other names. Lineage: Bacteria; Pseudomonadati; Pseudomonadota.